GAUAUAGUAUAUAUGGCAAUCCUAUUGAAGAUUUGGACCAUGUCCUCCGUAAGUGUAGCAUGGCUAAACUACUUUGGUUAAGAAUCAUUCUUCCUGAAGCCCAAAUAACCUUUUUUGGUGGUGCUGCGAAUGAUUGGUUCAUAUUGAAUAUCAAGAAUUGAUGGUCCUAGUGUAAGAAAUUUCAGGAUUGGAGAUUGACC
This 200-nucleotide long non-coding RNA is filed under the name Carica papaya (papaya). RNAcentral describes it as "long non-coding RNA (CPAP_LNC002708)". Lineage: Eukaryota; Viridiplantae; Streptophyta; Magnoliopsida; Brassicales; Caricaceae. The record is from RNAcentral.